AUGACUAUUACUGUUAACAUACCUGUAUAUAUUUGUUCCACAAGAGACCUCCCUUGCUUUCAUGCACAACAUUGCUACCUUCUCUAUGUUAUAUCAAUUUGUGGGCAUGUGAUCUACAUCCAAAGAGUUAUUCUUGUACUCUUUUACUCUCAGUUCGUGUUAUUGAUUAUAUAUAGGAAUAGAAAUUCAUUUCCUCUAAGGAUUUCAUCGGGCGCCCAAAUUCAUUAUUGGAACCAUCAUAUUCUGCAGACUGUAAGAUAUUUUCUAAGGAAUUCGAGUCAUGUACGUUCCAGUGAUUGUUACUUAGAAUCUGCAAUUUUAAUUCUCUGA
This is a non-coding RNA of Vicia faba (fava bean), 330 nucleotides long. The record is from the annotation of a GenBank genome assembly. NCBI's taxonomy places the organism in Eukaryota, Viridiplantae, Streptophyta, Magnoliopsida, Fabales, Fabaceae.